AUUGUGUCUCCGGCUACUCGAAAAAUCCGCAGCGCUCGAGCCCGGGCACGUGCCCAGGUGGCCGGACGGUGAAAUCGCCCCUGCAGACGGGGUCGGCCCCGCGGCGCCGACGCGGGGCGACGUGUACCUGGGGCGGCAGCUCACGGCCAUGGCCGCGGCGGGCGCCCGCAUGCGUGCGCCGGAGGAGGACGCCGAGAGGCGCCGCCGCCGCAAGGAGAAGCGAAGGGCCCUGGCCAAGAAGACGCCCUCCGGCAUCGCCUGCUGCUAUGGCUGCGGCCAUGUCGAGCCCGCCACCUGCGACCUGUUUGCUGGUGGGCAGAAGCAUAGACAACAGGAAGAACAGAGACGCAGCAUCUUCACUUCUUUCCUUGCAGAUUCCUGUUAAGGAAGCAAAGGUUGAGGCCUGGGAUCUACUCUAGAUGCUGUCGAGUUGCGAGCAUAUUUUGGGUAAGCAGCAGCAGAAUAGCAGAUUCAGCAGAAUAGCAUAUUUUCUUGAGUUACUCGAUGAAAUUCACAGGAGAGAGAGAGAGACAGACCACGAUCAACCACAACAAUGACACUGUUCACAGAAAUCUUGGAUUCAUAAAUGGGAGAAGCACAUAAGGGAGACGAAGAUGAUUGCAAGGAUGGAGAGGGAGCAAAUCAUUUGGAGGAUAGAAUGCCACUGUUUGGUGUUUUUAUGCAUUUUUGUUUCCUUCAACUGUGUUUGCACUAGCUGGGAAUAAGUGACUAGGCAAUAAGUGUAGAUGUAUGGAUAUGCUCUAAUGCUUCUGGUUUACUAUAAAUCUUCGAUUUGGAAUAAUGUGUAAUGCUGCUGGUUUAUUACA
Molecule: long non-coding RNA, 827 nt
Organism: Triticum aestivum (bread wheat)
Lineage: Eukaryota; Viridiplantae; Streptophyta; Magnoliopsida; Poales; Poaceae
Exons: 5
Source: RefSeq, a predicted model, not a curated record